Molecule: unclassified non-coding RNA, 345 nt
Filed under: soil metagenome
Description: partial contains 5.8S ribosomal RNA, internal transcribed spacer 2, and large subunit ribosomal RNA
Rfam family: 5.8S ribosomal RNA (bases 1-120)
Source: RNAcentral
GAUGAAGAACGUAGCGAAAUGCGAUAAGUAAUGCGAAUUGCAGAAUUCAGUGAAUCAUCGAGUCUUUGAACGCACAUUGCGCCCCCUGGUAUUCCGGGGGGCAUGCCUGUCCGAGCGUCAUUGCUGCCCUCAAGCACGGCUUGUGUGUUGGGCCUCCGUCCUCCUCCCGGGGGACGGGCCCGAAAGGCAGCGGCGGCACCGCGUCCGGUCCUCGAGCGUAUGGGGCUUCGUCACCCGCUCUUGUAGGCCCGGCCGGCGCUUGCCGACACAUCAAUCUUUUCUCCAGGUUGACCUCGGAUCAGGUAGGGAUACCCGCUGAACUUAAGCAUAUCAAUAAGCGGAGGA